Molecule: unclassified non-coding RNA, 692 nt
Filed under: Hevea brasiliensis (rubber tree)
Lineage: Eukaryota; Viridiplantae; Streptophyta; Magnoliopsida; Malpighiales; Euphorbiaceae
Source: RNAcentral
AAAAAAAAAAAAAAAAAAAGUAACUGGAGAGAUGGUGAAAUUAAGAGGCAAGAAGCACGGUUUGUGAAAUUUACAAAGACCCUUAAGCCAAAGGAACAGGAAGAAAACUUUUAGAGAGGAAGAAUGGAAGAAACAAAAAGCUGCCAUGAUAGAUAGACAACGCAAGUUUUGGGUUGAGUGAUGCGCAAAUUAACAGGAAGAGAAUCAAAUGCUAUGUCUCCUGGUGAAUUGAUAAGGGCUCCUAAGAUUCAAAAUCAAAGCAGAAGUGGGAUUAACACAUCAAUGAUAUAGCGAGCAACGACAUUCUGAUUAUUCAAAGUAGCCCACUGGAGCGCAUAAUAUCUGAGGCCAUCAGGCUUGGAAAUAGAGAAACCGUCACUCUCCAACAUUCUCUGAAGCUUCUAAAAUCCCAUAGGCAGUGGUUGUGCAAACAUCAUUCCUUAAGCCAUCGUCACCACCAACAUCAACAUUAUUGAUCCCAUUGGCCCCAUUAACAGAUGCUGAUUCCCCAAUAUUAAAUUGGACCUCCACCACCUCCAUCUUCGAUGACAUUUCUUCUACAAGAAAUUGGUAAUAAGCAUGGAAGGAGGAACUAGGAUUGAUUUGAUGAAAAAGAUUGAAAUUGGAAUUGAAUUGGUAAAGGAGUGGGAUGCCUUGGGCUUUUUCUUGAAAGGAGAGAGAGAGAGAGAGAG